UGCGCAGGCGGUUAUGUAAGACAGAUGUGAAAUCCCCGGGCUCAACCUGGGAACUGCAUUUGUGACUGCAUGGCUAGAGUACGGUAGAGGGGGAUGGAAUUCCGCGUGUAGCAGUGAAAUGCGUAGAUAUGCGGAGGAACACCGAUGGCGAAGGCAAUCCCCUGGACCUGUACUGACGCUCAUGCACGAAAGCGUGGGAGCAAACA
RNAcentral lists this ribosomal RNA (206 nucleotides) under uncultured bacterium. Its description in RNAcentral is "partial 16S ribosomal RNA". It matches the Rfam family "Bacterial small subunit ribosomal RNA", at positions 568 to 774 of the family's 1533-position model. The record is from RNAcentral.